RNAcentral lists this long non-coding RNA (205 nucleotides) under Elaeis guineensis (African oil palm). Its description in RNAcentral is "long non-coding RNA (EGUI_LNC059223)". The record is from RNAcentral. Lineage: Eukaryota; Viridiplantae; Streptophyta; Magnoliopsida; Arecales; Arecaceae.
GUAUUUUCAUAUAAUUUUUUUCUUCAUAAAUUUUUUAAAAUAAAGAUAAUUCAAUUUGUGCUGUUAUUAAAGAUACAAUCACUAUAUAAUAAUUUUUAGUAACACUAUUCAUAAAGUAAUAUAAUAUUAUUAAUUUUUUAUGAUAUUUCUUAAAAUCAUGACUGAAGAAUAUUUAUUGUUUUUUCUAAGCGUUACAAGAACUCAG